RNAcentral lists this ribosomal RNA (778 nucleotides) under uncultured bacterium. RNAcentral's name for it is "bacterial SSU rRNA". It matches the Rfam family "Bacterial small subunit ribosomal RNA", at positions 8 to 796 of the family's 1533-position model. The record is from RNAcentral.
AGAGUUUGAUCCUGGCUCAGAAUGAACGUUGGCGGCGUGGAUUAGGCAUGCAAGUCGAACGAGUCUCUGGGGGGUAACUCCUAGAGGAAAGUGGCGAAAGGGGCAGUAAUGUAUGGGUAACCUACCUUGAGGUCUGGGAUAGCCAUUCUAACGGAUGGGUAAUACUGGACGGCCUGAAUUGUCGGCAUCGAUGACUUAGUAAAGGUUACGCCUCGAGAGGGGCCCAUAUGAUAUUAGCUAGUUGGCGAGGUAAUGGCUCACCAAGGCAAAGAUGUCUAGCGGGUGUGAGAGCACGACCCGCGUCAUUGGCACUGAGACACUGGCCAAACUCCUACGGGAGGCUGCAGUCGAGGAUCUUCGGCAAUGGACGAAAGUCUGACCGAGCAACGCCGCGUGUGCGAUGAAGGCCUUCGGGUUGUAAAGCACUGUCGAGGGGAAACAAGCCGUAAGGUUGAGUGACCCCUGGAGGAAGCACGGGCUAAGUUCGUGCCAGCAGCCGCGGUAAGACGAACCGUGCAAACGUUAUUCGGAAUCACUGGGCUUAAAGGGCGCGUAGGCGGGUAAUCAAGUCAAUGGUGAAAUCCUCCAGCUUAACUGGAGAAGUGCCUUUGAUACUGGUUGUCUAGAGGGAGGUAGGGGCAUGUGGAACUUCAGGUGGAGCGGUGAAAUGCGUAGAUAUCUGAAGGAACGCCAGUGGCGAAAGCGAUGUGCUGGACCUCUUCUGACGCUGAGGCGCGAAAGCUAGGGGAUCAAACGGGAUUAGAUACCCUGGUAGUCC